Molecule: small nuclear RNA, 23 nt
Filed under: Arabidopsis thaliana (thale cress)
Lineage: Eukaryota; Viridiplantae; Streptophyta; Magnoliopsida; Brassicales; Brassicaceae
Description: snRNA_04585
Source: RNAcentral
AAAUAGACAAAUGAGAAUUAAUG